This 73-nucleotide transfer RNA is filed under the name Marmota marmota marmota (Alpine marmot). It matches the Rfam family "tRNA". Rfam says of the family: Transfer RNA (tRNA) molecules are approximately 80 nucleotides in length. Their secondary structure includes four short double-helical elements and three loops (D, anti-codon, and T loops). Further hydrogen bonds mediate the characteristic L-shaped molecular structure. tRNAs have two regions of fundamental functional importance: the anti-codon, which is responsible for specific mRNA codon recognition, and the 3' end, to which the tRNAs corresponding amino acid is attached (by aminoacyl-tRNA synthetases). tRNAs cope with the degeneracy of the genetic code in two manners: having more than one tRNA (with a specific anti-codon) for a particular amino acid; and 'wobble' base-pairing, i.e. permitting non-standard base-pairing at the 3rd anti-codon position. Lineage: Eukaryota; Metazoa; Chordata; Mammalia; Rodentia; Sciuridae. RNAcentral also lists the same sequence under 3 other names. The record is from Rfam by way of RNAcentral.
GGAGAUAUAGCUCAGUUGGUAGAGUGCUUGCCUCACAUACACAGGGCCCUGGGUUCAAUCCCCAGCACUGCCA